UCUGGCGGCAGUAGCGCGGUGGUCCCACCUGACCCCAUGCCGAACUCAGAAGUGAAACGCCGUAGCGCCGAUGGUAGUGUGGGGUCAC
This 88-nucleotide ribosomal RNA is filed under the name Salmonella enterica subsp. enterica serovar Typhimurium str. STm4. The record is from RNAcentral. Lineage: Bacteria; Pseudomonadati; Pseudomonadota; Gammaproteobacteria; Enterobacterales; Enterobacteriaceae. RNAcentral also lists the same sequence under 1 other name.